This 399-nucleotide ribosomal RNA is filed under the name uncultured bacterium. RNAcentral's name for it is "bacterial SSU rRNA". It matches the Rfam family "Bacterial small subunit ribosomal RNA", at positions 356 to 772 of the family's 1533-position model. The record is from RNAcentral.
GGGGAAUAUUGGACAAUGGGCGAAAGCCUGAUCCAGCAAUGCCGCGUGAGUGAUGAAGGCCUUAGGGUUGUAAAGCUCUUUUACCCGGGAUGAUAAUGACAGUACCGGGAGAAUAAGCCCCGGCUAACUCCGUGCCAGCAGCCGCGGUAAUACGGAGGGGGCUAGCGUUGUUCGGAAUUACUGGGCGUAAAGCGCGCGUAGGCGGCUUUGUAAGUCAGAGGUGAAAGCCUGGAGCUCAACUCCAGAACUGCCUUUGAAACUACAUCGCUAGAAUCAUGGAGAGGUUAGUGGAAUUCCGAGUGUAGAGGUGAAAUUCGUAGAUAUUCGGAAGAACACCAGUGGCGAAGGCGACUACCUGGCCCAUUCUUGACGCUGAGGCGCGAAAGCUAGGGGAGCGAA